RNAcentral lists this ribosomal RNA (679 nucleotides) under uncultured bacterium. RNAcentral's name for it is "bacterial SSU rRNA". It matches the Rfam family "Bacterial small subunit ribosomal RNA", at positions 790 to 1482 of the family's 1533-position model. The record is from RNAcentral.
GUAGUCCACGCCGUAAACGAUGUUCACUCGCUGCUUGCGAUAUACCGUAAGUGGCCAAGCGAAAGCAUUAAGUGAACCACCUGGGGAGUACGUCGGCAACGGUGAAACUCAAAGGAAUUGACGGGGGCCCGCACAAGCGGAGGAACAUGUGGUUUAAUUCGAUGAUACGCGAGGAACCUUACCUGGGCUUAAAUGUAGAUUGCAUGAUGUGGAAACACACUUUACUUCGGUACCGUCUACAAGGUGCUGCAUGGUUGUCGUCAGCUCGUGCCGUGAGGUGUCGGGUUAAGUCCCAUAACGAGCGCAACCCCUACCGUUAGUUGCCAUCAGGUCAAGCUGGGGACUCUAGCGGGACUGCCACCGUAAGGUGAGAGGAAGGUGGGGAUGACGUCAAAUCAGCACGGCCCUUAUGCCCAGGGCUACACACGUGUUACAAUGGCAGGUACAAAGGGCAGCCACACCGCGAGGUGGAGCCAAUCCCAAAAGCCUGUCCCAGUUCGGAUCGGGGCCUGCAACUCGGCCCCGUGAAGUUGGAUUCGCUAGUAAUCGCGUAUCAGCAACGACGCGGUGAAUACGUUCCCGGGCCUUGUACACACCGCCCGUCAAACCAUGGAAGCUGGGGGGACCUGAAGUCUGUCACCGCGAGGAGCGGCCUAGGGUAAAACCGGUAACUGGGGUU